Molecule: ribosomal RNA, 317 nt
Filed under: Araneus diadematus (European garden spider)
Lineage: Eukaryota; Metazoa; Arthropoda; Arachnida; Araneae; Araneidae
Description: partial 12S ribosomal RNA
Source: RNAcentral
AGGUAGUAUUAUUUUAUAAGAAACCUAUGUAGUUUGGCGGCAUUUAAUCAUAUUAGAGGAACCUGUCUUUUAAUCGAUUCUCCACGUUAAUUUUUACUUUUAUUAAUAUUUUAUAUACCGCCAUCUUUAGAAUUAAUAUUUAUAUUCUCCCCUUAAUAGAAUAUCUAAAAAGUUAGGUAAAGGUGUAAACUAUAUAAAAGAUAAGAUGGGUUACAAUAAUUUUUAUUUAAGGAUAUUUAAUAAAAAUUUCAUUUGAAAAGGGAUUUAACAGUAAUAUUAAAAAUAAUUUUCUAAAAUGAAUUUGAUAAAAAAUGUGC